AGUUAUUUGACAACUGAGACCAGUUAGCCUCUGUGUAGAAUUGAUUAGAAUGAAAUUCUAGAGCCACAGAGACACUCCCUAUCUUGUAUUAUGCACUAGUUAAGUUACAUGCUGUGGAUCAGCAAUAGUCAUUUACUAAACUCUGUGCUGUGAGAUAUGAGGAUUCCUCCUCAGUUAUCUGAAAUACAGUCAGUGCAGUUGUGUUUAGCCCGUUAGCUUAGAUGAGCUAACUUAUUUAAGCCUAGCUACUUGGCUACAGGUCUGAGAUUGACAAAACACACUGCUUCCUGACCUUCUGUCACUACAACAUCAGUCACUGGACUUCACUUUCUAAGGCACAAGCGCUGGAUGUUAAUCAACACAGAUUUCUCUCUUUAAACUGUUUUUUGGGAUGCAGACAUUCAUGCAGGAUGCAGAGACAUGGGUCUACACUCUGUUCUACACUCUGUUCUACACUCUGGAGUCUAAUGAUUUUACAGUGGAAAAACAGCCAAACUGUGAGAUGUCUUGCACCCUCUGAGGACCAGCAUUUUGCACUGGUGUGCUGAAAAAGCUCUCCCCUGCACAGCAUCGCCCCAUCAGCUGAAUUCCUUCUGCUUUUCUCCGUUUUCUUCUCGGCCCAGAUCUUCCAUCAAAAACUUUGAGUUCCAGGUCAGAUAAGACGCCUCGUCCUCAGGAAAUCAACAGUGAAAUCCAUCCAAGCAUCUGCCUUAAAGUCUUGGUGUGAAGUGCCUUGGUCUGAGUGUUUUUUUUUUCAUCAUAUAAAUAAAUAAAUAAUGUAUAAUAUGCA
RNAcentral lists this long non-coding RNA (790 nucleotides) under Astyanax mexicanus (Mexican tetra). Its description in RNAcentral is "lncRNA (ENSAMXG00005024342.1)". The record is from RNAcentral. Lineage: Eukaryota; Metazoa; Chordata; Actinopteri; Characiformes; Acestrorhamphidae.